RNAcentral lists this ribosomal RNA (396 nucleotides) under uncultured bacterium. RNAcentral describes it as "bacterial SSU rRNA". It matches the Rfam family "Bacterial small subunit ribosomal RNA", at positions 135 to 518 of the family's 1533-position model. The record is from RNAcentral.
AGACUGGGAUAACAGUUAGAAACGACUGCUAAUACCGGAUGAUUCAUAGUUAGAUAACUAAUUAUGCUAAAAGGAGCAUUUGCUUCACUUUGAGAUGGGCUUGCGUUGUAUUAGUUAGUUGGUGGGGUAAUGGCCUACCAAGACAACGAUGCAUAUCCGAGCUGAGAGGCUGAUCGGACACACUGGGACUGAGACACGGCCCAGACUCCUACGGGAGACAGCAGUUAGGAAUAUUCGUCAAUGGGGGAAACCCUGAACGAGCAAUGCCGCGUGAGUGAUUAAGGUCUUAUAGAUUGUAAAACUCUGUUGUAAAGAAAGAAACCUUAAGAUAGGAAAUGAUCUUAAGCUGACGGUACUUUACCAGAAAGCCCCGGCUAACUACGUGCCAGCAGCAGC